RNAcentral lists this ribosomal RNA (267 nucleotides) under uncultured prokaryote. RNAcentral's name for it is "partial 16S ribosomal RNA". It matches the Rfam family "Bacterial small subunit ribosomal RNA", at positions 524 to 790 of the family's 1533-position model. The record is from RNAcentral.
UACGUAGGGUGCGAGCGUUGUCCGGAAUUAUUGGGCGUAAAGAGCUUGUAGGCGGUUUGUCGCGUCUGCUGUGAAAAUCCGGGGCUCAACCCCGGACUUGCAGUGGGUACGGGCAGACUAGAGUGUGGUAGGGGAGACUGGAAUUCCUGGUGUAGCGGUGAAAUGCGCAGAUAUCAGGAGGAACACCAAUGGCGAAGGCAGGUCUCUGGGCAGUUACUGACGCUGAGGAGCGAAAGCAUGGGUAGCGAACAGGAUUAGAUACCCCGU